This is a long non-coding RNA of Bombus terrestris (buff-tailed bumblebee), 676 nucleotides long. RefSeq lists it as uncharacterized. NCBI's taxonomy places the organism in Eukaryota, Metazoa, Arthropoda, Insecta, Hymenoptera, Apidae. The transcript has 2 exons. The record is from RefSeq and is a predicted model, not a curated record.
UGUUCAGCUAGCCCGAGGACCCGCUAUAAAUCUUAAGAUUUAUUUAACGGAAGUCCUUCAAACCGAUAAACAGUCUUUGUUUCAACUAUGGGAAAAUUGGAGAAGUCUAUUUUUCUCAUGAACGACGCGACCCGAUAGCAACUUUCUCUUAAGGCCUGCUAGCACCCUUCCCUAACCACCAACAUGGAAAUUGACCAAUAAACAAUAACACCAAUUUCCCUCAUUUUCCGAACGAAGACUUUUCUCCACGAAUCCGAUGAUCUCGUGCCCUUAGACACACCCAUCAUAGUUUUCCUCGACAGCGUCACCGUGAUGAAGAGACACUCUUCCGUACGAUCUUAACGACGAUACAAGUAAUUCUCAGCGAGAUGGUUGUCCAAAAGUUAUAAAUCUUGGGAGUUCAGAGACUGAUCUAUAUUAUGAAAAGAAAAAAUAUGGGUUCAAUAGAAGAUAAUGACUGAUACCAACAAUUUUUGACGUGUACAAAAUGUUUUUAAUGUCGCAAAUAAACAACUAUAUUUAUAAAAUUGUAAUAAUUUAUAUUUUUUAUUUUAAAAAUUUAAUUUCAAAUUCGCGAUCAUGCAAUCGUUUUGUUACAAAAUGUGUGUACGGAUUAAUGUUUUUGUAAGUUGUAAAGAAAUUUAAAAUAGAGAAAUAAAUUGUAAUCGUGCAUAGA